CAGUAGCCGCGGUAAUACGUAGGGUGCAAGCGUUAAUCGGAAUUACUGGGCGUAAAGCGUGCGCAGGCGGUUAUAUAAGACAGAUGUGAAAUCCCCGGGCUCAACCUGGGAACUGCAUUUGUGACUGUAUAGCUAGAGUACGGCAGAGGGGGAUGGAAUUCCGCGUGUAGCAGUGAAAUGCGUAGAUAUGCGGAGGAACACCGAUGGCGAAGGCAAUCCCCUGGGCCUGUACUGACGCUCAUGCACGAAAGCGUGGGGAGCAAACAGGAUUAGAUACCCCAUAGUCCCUGUCUCUUAUACA
Molecule: ribosomal RNA, 301 nt
Filed under: uncultured bacterium
Lineage: Bacteria
Description: partial 16S ribosomal RNA
Rfam family: Bacterial small subunit ribosomal RNA
Source: RNAcentral